Molecule: ribosomal RNA, 450 nt
Filed under: uncultured bacterium
Lineage: Bacteria
Description: bacterial SSU rRNA
Rfam family: Bacterial small subunit ribosomal RNA
Source: RNAcentral
GUGAACGCUAGCGGUGCGCCUCAAACAUGCAAGUCGAGUGGGUUUAGACCCACGGCGAACGGCUGAAUAUCACGUGGGUAUCUCCCCCGAACUCAGGGAUAUCCCGCCGAAAGGCGGAGUAAUACCGGAUAGUCCCCGCACUCUUCGCAAGAAAAGUGCAGGGUAAAGAUUUUUCGGUUCGGGAAGAGCCUGCGGCCUAUCAGCUUGUUGGUAAGGUAACGGCUUACCAAGGCUAUGACGGGUAGCUGGAUUGAGAGAUCGACCAGCCAGAAUGGGACUGAGACACGGCCCAUACUCCUACGGGAGGCAGCAGUUAGGAAUUUUCCGCAAUGGGCGCAAGCCUGACGGAGCGACACCGCGUGGAGGACGAAACCUUUUUUAGGCGUAAACUCCUGUUCUGAGGGACGAAAUUUUGACGGUACCUCAGGAGAAAGCAUCGGCUAACUACGU